GCCUGGGUGGCUCAGUUGGUUAAGCAUCCGACUUCAGCUCAGGUCAUGAUCUCGUGGUUUGUGGGUUCGAGCCCCACGUCGGGCU
Molecule: transfer RNA, 85 nt
Filed under: Felis catus (domestic cat)
Lineage: Eukaryota; Metazoa; Chordata; Mammalia; Carnivora; Felidae
Also listed under: 2 other names
Rfam family: tRNA
About the family: Transfer RNA (tRNA) molecules are approximately 80 nucleotides in length.
Source: Rfam by way of RNAcentral